UAAUUAAUAUCACAAUGUUUUUAUUGCAAUCAAAUCUUCUCAACUUAUGUCUGUCCUCACAGAACCUUUAGGCAUUUCACAAGAUAAUCCUUUAAUAACACAUUUAUUAUAUCCCUUUGAAAUCCUUAAUGAUGUCUUAAUGAUUAAGUGAUCAAUGUUAGAAACAAAAUUAUAUGAUAAUUUAUUUAUUUUUACCACCACCUAAGAAACUUGAAAGUGACUUUUUCAGUUUCAUGCCUCCUACUACUCAAUCAAAGGGUAUAGACACAGGUACAGUGCAGUACAUGAUGUUGACAUCUACUUGUCUGAGCCAUGUGAAGAGAUUUCAAUCAAUGCACUGGAAUAAUGGAAGUCAAAUUCAGUGUGCCGUUCUUCUUUGGCUAAUACAGCUAUCAAGUAUUUAGCCAUUUCCCACACAUAAGCUCCUGUAGAAAGGCUUUCAAGUAUUGCCGGAAAG
RNAcentral lists this long non-coding RNA (457 nucleotides) under Mytilus galloprovincialis (Mediterranean mussel). Lineage: Eukaryota; Metazoa; Mollusca; Bivalvia; Mytilida; Mytilidae. The record is from RNAcentral.